AGUAAAAAUGUCUCAAUGUGAACUACAUCCCACAAUUCCUCCACAGAGUGGACCAGCAGAGCUCAGAGGUUCCCAGUGGUCAGUCUUCCAAGCAGCAUCAAACACAGCUGGACUCCAUAUUUAUGCUGCUGGAGGACAACAUCAUCACUUUUGUGAAGAACGAGCUGAAGAAGAUCCAGAAGGUUCUGGGUCUAGAUUACCCAGAAUGCUUAGAGAGUCAGAGAGUGGAUGAUAAGAAGGGGAGGAGCAGCAGAGAGGCAUUUGUGAAGAUAACACUGGACUUCCUGAGGAGAAUGAAACAGGAGGAGCUGGCUGACCGUCUGCAGAGCAAACUUUCAGCUUCAGUUUGUUGGCAUGAACAUAAAACUAAACUAAAAAAUAAGUUCCAGUAUGUCUUCGAGGGAAUCACUAAAGCAGGAAACCCAACCUUUCUGAAUCAGAUCUACACAGAGCUCUACAUCACAGAGGGAGGGACUGCAGAGGUUAGUCAUG
Molecule: long non-coding RNA, 492 nt
Organism: Oreochromis niloticus (Nile tilapia)
Lineage: Eukaryota; Metazoa; Chordata; Actinopteri; Cichliformes; Cichlidae
Exons: 3
Source: RefSeq, a predicted model, not a curated record